CAUCGCGAGGUGGAAUUUGAAGGAAGCUGGCGGCAAACAUCUGACCUGACGUACAGGAACUUGAUACAAGGCUGGUAGGUAUGAGAUUAUAAAACAAAUCAAAGUCCGAUAGUUAUCCGGGAAUGGUAU
RNAcentral lists this non-coding RNA (129 nucleotides) under uncultured Phocaeicola sp. The record is from RNAcentral. Lineage: Bacteria; Pseudomonadati; Bacteroidota; Bacteroidia; Bacteroidales; Bacteroidaceae.